CUACGGGCUGCAGCAGCAAGGAAUAGUAGGCAAUGGGGGAAACCCUGACCUCGCGACGCCGCGUGAGGGAUGAAGGCUUUCGGGUCGUAAACCUCUUUUUUCAGGGAUGAAUAAUGACAGUACCUGAAGAAUAAGUCACGGCUAACUACGUGCCAGCAGCCGCGGUAAAACGUAGGUGGCGAACGUUAUCCGGAUUUACUGGGCGUAAAGAGUGCGUAGGCGGCUUUUCAAGUCGGAUGUACAAUCUCCCGGCCCAACUGGGAGCGACCAUCCGCUACUGUUGGGCUAGAGUGCAUCAGAGGAGAGUGGAAUUCCCGGUGUAGUGGUGGAAUGCGUAGAUAUCGGGAGGAACACCAGUGGCGAAAGCGGCUCUCUGGGAUGUAACUGACGCUGUUGCACGAAAGCGUGGGUAGCAAACAGGAUUAGAUACCCCCGUAGUC
Molecule: ribosomal RNA, 440 nt
Filed under: uncultured bacterium
Lineage: Bacteria
Description: partial 16S ribosomal RNA
Rfam family: Bacterial small subunit ribosomal RNA
Source: RNAcentral